This 355-nucleotide ribosomal RNA is filed under the name uncultured bacterium. RNAcentral's name for it is "bacterial SSU rRNA". It matches the Rfam family "Bacterial small subunit ribosomal RNA", at positions 527 to 881 of the family's 1533-position model. The record is from RNAcentral.
GUAGGGGGCAAGCGUUAUCCGGAUUUACUGGGUGUAAAGGGAGCGUAGACGGUUUUGCAAGUCUGAAGUGAAAGCCCGGGGCUUAACCCCGGGACUGCUUUGGAAACUGUAGGACUAGAGUGCAGGAGAGGUAAGUGGAAUUCCUAGUGUAGCGGUGAAAUGCGUAGAUAUUAGGAGGAACACCAGUGGCGAAGGCGGCUUGCUGGGCUUUUACUGACGCUGAGGCUCGAAAGCGUGGGGAGCAAACAGGAUUAGAUACCCUGGUAGUCCACGCUGUAAACGAUGAUUACUAGGUGUGGGGGGACUGACCCCUUCCGUGCCGCAGUUAACACAAUAAGUAAUCCACCUGGGGAGU